Hordeum vulgare subsp. vulgare (domesticated barley) is the source of this 124-nucleotide non-coding RNA. Lineage: Eukaryota; Viridiplantae; Streptophyta; Magnoliopsida; Poales; Poaceae. The record is from Rfam.
CUAGUACUCCCUCCACCAGGAAAUACUUGUCGGAGAAAUGAAUGUAUCUAGACAUAUUUUAGUUCUAGAUACAUCCAUUUUAUCCAUUUCUCGGACAAGUAUUUCUGGACGGAGGGAGUAUAUC